This 73-nucleotide transfer RNA is filed under the name Sus scrofa (pig). It matches the Rfam family "tRNA". Rfam says of the family: Transfer RNA (tRNA) molecules are approximately 80 nucleotides in length. Their secondary structure includes four short double-helical elements and three loops (D, anti-codon, and T loops). The record is from Rfam by way of RNAcentral. Lineage: Eukaryota; Metazoa; Chordata; Mammalia; Artiodactyla; Suidae.
UCCCUGGUGGCCCAGAGGUUAGGGAUGCAGCAUUAUCACUGCUGUGGCUCAGAUUCAAUUCCUGGCCUGGGAA